CGUAGGUGAACCUGCGGAGGGAUCAUUACCGAGUUUACAACUCCCAAACCCAAUGUGAACGUUACCAAACUGUUGCCUCGGCGGGAUCUCUGCCCCGGUUGCGUCGCAGCCCCGGACCAAGGCGCCCGCCGGAGGACCAACCAAAACUCUUAUUGUAUACCCCCUCGCGGGUUUUUUACUAUCUGAGCCAUCUCGGCGCCCCUCGUGGGCGUUUCGAAAAUGAAUCAAAACUUUCAACAACGGAUCUCUUGGUUCUGGCAUCGAUGAAGAACGCAGCGAAAUGCGAUAAGUAAUGUGAAUUGCAGAAUUCAGUGAAUCAUCGAAUCUUUGAACGCACAUUGCGCCCGCCAGUAUUCUGGCGGGCAUGCCUGUCCGAGCGUCAUUUCAACCCUCGAACCCCUCCGGGGGGUCGGCGUUGGGGAUCGGCCCUUUACGGGGCCGGCCCCGAAAUACAGUGGCGGUCUCGCCGCAGCCUCUCCUGCGCAGUAGUUUGCACACUCGCAUCGGGAGCGCAGGCGCGUCCACAGCCGUUAAACACCCCAAACUUCUGAAAUGUUGACCUCGGAUCAAUGUACGUAAUACCCGCUGAACUUAAGCAUAUCAAUAAGCGGAGGAA
RNAcentral lists this ribosomal RNA (616 nucleotides) under Trichoderma sp. BAB-4524. Its description in RNAcentral is "eukaryotic LSU rRNA". The stretch from base 229 to 382 matches the Rfam family "5.8S ribosomal RNA". Lineage: Eukaryota; Fungi; Ascomycota; Sordariomycetes; Hypocreales; Hypocreaceae. The record is from RNAcentral.